This 253-nucleotide ribosomal RNA is filed under the name uncultured bacterium. Its description in RNAcentral is "partial 16S ribosomal RNA". It matches the Rfam family "Bacterial small subunit ribosomal RNA", at positions 524 to 776 of the family's 1533-position model. The record is from RNAcentral.
UACGUAGGGUGCAAGCGUUAAUCGGAAUUACUGGGCGUAAAGCGUGCGCAGGCGGUUCGCUAAGACAGAUGUGAAAUCCCCGGGCUUAACCUGGGAACUGCAUUUGUGACUGGCGGGCUAGAGUAUGGCAGAGGGGGGUAGAAUUCCACGUGUAGCAGUGAAAUGCGUAGAGAUGUGGAGGAAUACCGAUGGCGAAGGCAGCCCCCUGGGCCAAUACUGACGCUCAUGCACGGAAGCGUGGGGAGCAAACAGG